UCAUUUCCUUUAAUGCCAACAUGAGCUCC
This 29-nucleotide small RNA is filed under the name Bombyx mori (domestic silkworm). Its description in RNAcentral is "ovarian small RNA-26396". The record is from RNAcentral. Lineage: Eukaryota; Metazoa; Arthropoda; Insecta; Lepidoptera; Bombycidae.